Non-coding RNA from Labrus bergylta (ballan wrasse), 1136 nucleotides. The record is from RefSeq and is a predicted model, not a curated record. Lineage: Eukaryota; Metazoa; Chordata; Actinopteri; Labriformes; Labridae.
AACAUCAUCAGUGUGUCUCUUGUUGCAGGUAUUUGCUAGGGCAACUUCUGCAGGGAGUGAUGGGCAUCGUUUUUUGGGCCUUCUACCUGACUGGAUGGUGGAGAUGAAGGAGAAAGAGGAGGAUGAAGAGGAAGAGGAGGAAGAGGAGACCAAAUCAGUGAUCUAAAAGUCUGAACUUUGUGUCUGGACUUUGGGCUGACUGGUUGUUUGAAAACCAUGUUGAGUAUAAUGAUCUGUAGCUCUUUUAGUGACAGCUUGAUUUGGAUACUUAUGGAUAAAACAAAUGUAAAUGAUAAGAUUUGUUAGUGACAUAAGAUGAUGAAGUCAACUCAGCCUUAAUAACAACUGUUGUUUUCUAUUAUCUUACUGUCAUCUGUGUACUCAUUCUUUAAUUUUCUCUGCUGGGAUUCUUUUGAUUGAUUGAAGUCUUUAUUUCAAAUUUGUAUUUUCUUUUCCCCCCCUUUGUUUCAGGAUAAAAAAACAAACAAAACAGAUCCACAAAAAGAAAAGUAAAUAAGACAACAGAACAUUUGAAUUUCAUGUUUGUAAAGGAGUGGGAAGAAGUGUAAAUUUAUAGAAUCCCACCCCCUCUCCGUUAAUCUGUAGUUAAUAGUUGAACAGGCUUCCUUAUUUAAUCUUCAUUUACGAAUAAAUAAAUAACGAAUCUGCAAUACACAUUUAUAUAUAUAAACCAAUAAACAUACAAAAUAUAUAAAUUAAAUACAAAUGUGUUUCUGCAAAAUAUAAUUUCAUCUAUCAUCCAUUAAAAAAAGAUAAGGACAGCACUCCAAAUUUGUGUAUUUAAUUGCCAAACGAACGUUUCGAGCCGACGCUCUUCUUCAGCGUGUAACAGGCAAUUUUUCAAACAUGCACAGGUGUAAUCAAUUUAUACUUGUCCAAGAUGGGCACACCUCCAUCGCAGUAGAGAGUCUAUCAUUGUUUGUCUAUCAUUUAUCAACCAUUGACAUAUUUGAACAUGUAUUGAUUUCUUUUAUCUUCUAUAUUCAUGUUCUUCUCCCUUAAUUAAUGAUAUACAGUUUGUAGUAAUACAUUUAAGUUAGUGUUUUUUCUCCAUUACCUAUUUACCCUUCACCAUACCUGUCAACAUAUUUACAUAUAUACCUUCAUUCCUUUUA